RNAcentral lists this long non-coding RNA (451 nucleotides) under Nicotiana benthamiana. RNAcentral describes it as "long non-coding RNA (NBEN_LNC004500)". The record is from RNAcentral. Lineage: Eukaryota; Viridiplantae; Streptophyta; Magnoliopsida; Solanales; Solanaceae.
AUGGUUUUUGAGAGGAAGCAAAAUGGGAGUACUGGUGGAGAGAUUGAGAGAUAUGGUUCUAGAGAAGAAAGGUGGAGAUCUCCUCCUAGCUCUAACCGAGGCAAUGGUUAUGAUUAUGGUGAGUUCAGGGAUGAGCCUGCUUAUGGAAUGAGGAAGUCACGAUCAUCUGGGGAUGUGAGAGAGUCAACACAGGAGCGGAAAGAUGUGACUCCAUUAAGAGAGAUGAACCCUGCCUGCUUAUGGAAUGAGAAAGUCGCGAUCAUCUGGGGAUGUGAGAGAGUCAACACAGGAGCGGAAGGAUGUGACCCCAUUAAGAGAGAUGAACCCUGAGAAGAUCUUUGGGAAGAUGACUCAUUUGCAGCGGUUGUUGGAUCGGUUUUUGUCUUGUCGACCAACUGGAUUGGCGAAAAAUGAAAGGAUGGUAUUGGUUGCUUUGUAUCCUAUGGUGAAA